AAAUUCUCUCCUCCCAACUCUUUCUCUUCUCCUUCAUUUCUCACUCCGUGAAAUAUUACUCAUCCAUCAAACCAAGAAAAUGAAGCAAAAAAUAGUAAUUAAGGUGGCAAUGCACCAUGAUAAAUGUCGCUCCAAGGCCCUGAAAAUCGUUGUUGCCACAACAGGGGUUGAGUCGGCGGCAUUAACCGGAGAAGGGAAGGAUCAGGUGGAGGUGGUGGGAGAUGGGAUAGAUUCCGUGAAGCUA
Sesamum indicum (sesame) is the source of this 244-nucleotide non-coding RNA. The record is from RefSeq and is a predicted model, not a curated record. Lineage: Eukaryota; Viridiplantae; Streptophyta; Magnoliopsida; Lamiales; Pedaliaceae.